This 491-nucleotide ribosomal RNA is filed under the name uncultured bacterium. RNAcentral's name for it is "partial 16S ribosomal RNA". It matches the Rfam family "Bacterial small subunit ribosomal RNA", at positions 28 to 507 of the family's 1533-position model. The record is from RNAcentral.
GAUGAACGCUGUCUACAGGCUUAACACAUGCAAGUCGAGGGGAAACGACGGGGAAGCUUGCUUCCCCGGGCGUCGACCGGCGCACGGGUGAGUAACGCGUAUCCAACCUGCCUCUGACUGAGGGAUAACCCGUCGAAAGUCGGCCUAAUACCUCAUGGCAUCGUCUGCGGGCAUCCAACGACGAUUAAAGAUUUCAUCGGUCAGGGAUGGGGAUGCGUCUGAUUAGCUUGUUGGCGGGGUAACGGCCCACCAAGGCUACGAUCAGUAGGGGUUCUGAGAGGAAGGUCCCCCACAUUGGAACUGAGACACGGUCCAAACUCCUACGGGAGGCAGCAGUGAGGAAUAGUGGUCAAUGGGCGGGAGCCUGAACCAGCCAAGUAGCGUGCAGGAUGACGGCCCUAUGGGUUGUAAACUGCUUUUAUGCGGGGAUAAAGUGAGGGACGUGUCCUUCAUUGCAGGUACCGCAUGAAUAAGGACCGGCUAAUUCCGUG